GCGUCGGUGGUAUAGUGGUUAGCAUAACUGCCUUUCAAGCAGCUGACCCGGGUUCGAUUCCCGGCCAACGCA
This 72-nucleotide transfer RNA is filed under the name Rhipicephalus microplus (southern cattle tick). RNAcentral describes it as "tRNA-Glu". It matches the Rfam family "tRNA". Rfam says of the family: Transfer RNA (tRNA) molecules are approximately 80 nucleotides in length. Their secondary structure includes four short double-helical elements and three loops (D, anti-codon, and T loops). Further hydrogen bonds mediate the characteristic L-shaped molecular structure. tRNAs have two regions of fundamental functional importance: the anti-codon, which is responsible for specific mRNA codon recognition, and the 3' end, to which the tRNAs corresponding amino acid is attached (by aminoacyl-tRNA synthetases). tRNAs cope with the degeneracy of the genetic code in two manners: having more than one tRNA (with a specific anti-codon) for a particular amino acid; and 'wobble' base-pairing, i.e. permitting non-standard base-pairing at the 3rd anti-codon position. Lineage: Eukaryota; Metazoa; Arthropoda; Arachnida; Ixodida; Ixodidae. The record is from Rfam by way of RNAcentral.